RNAcentral lists this ribosomal RNA (117 nucleotides) under Simkania negevensis. The record is from RNAcentral. Lineage: Bacteria; Pseudomonadati; Chlamydiota; Chlamydiia; Parachlamydiales; Simkaniaceae. RNAcentral also lists the same sequence under 1 other name.
UCUUGGUGGCUGUAGAGAAGAGGAAACACCUGAUCCCAUCCCGAACUCAGAAGUUAAGCUCUUCAUCGCCGAUGGUACUGUGCACUAGAGUACGGGAGAGUAGGUCGCCGCCAAGUU